UUACCAUGCAAGUCGAACGAUGAACCACUUCGGUGGGGAUUAGUGGCGAACGGGUGAGUAACACGUGGGUAAUCUGCCCUUCACUCUGGGACAAGCCCUGGAAACGGGGUCUAAUACCGGAUAUCACUUGCGCAGGCAUCUGUGCGGGUUGAAAGCUCCGGCGGUGAAGGAUGAGCCCGCGGCCUAUCAGCUUGUUGGUGAGGUAACGGCUCACCAAGGCGACGACGGGUAGCCGGCCUGAGAGGGCGACCGGCCACACUGGGACUGAGACACGGCCCAGACUCCUACGGGAGGCAGCAGUGGGGAAUAUUGCACAAUGGGCGCAAGCCUGAUGCAGCGACGCCGCGUGAGGGAUGACGGCCUUCGGGUUGUAAACCUCUUUCAGCAGGGAAGAAGCGCAAGUGACGGUACCUGCAGAAGAAGCGCCGGCUAACUACGUGCCAGCAGCCGCGGUAAUACGUAGGGCGCAAGCGUUGUCCGGAAUUAUUGGGCGUAAAGAGCUCGUAGGCGGCUUGUCACGUCGGGUGUGAAAGCCCGGGGCUUAACCCCGGGUCUGCAUUCGAUACGGGCAGGCUAGAGUGUGGUAGGGGAGAUCGGAAUUCCUGGUGUAGCGGUGAAAUGCGCAGAUAUCAGGAGGAACACCGGUGGCGAAGGCGGAUCUCUGGGCCAUUACUGACGCUGAGGAGCGAAAGCGUGGGGAGCGAACAGGAUUAGAUACCCUGGUAGUCCACGCCGUAACGGUGGGAACUAGGUGUUGGCGACAUUCCACGUCGUCGUGCCUAGCUAACGCAUUACGUCCCCCGCCUGGGGAGUACGGCCGCAGGCUAAAACUCAAGGAAUUGACGGGGGCCCGCACAAGCAACGGACCAGUGGCUUAAUUG
This 881-nucleotide ribosomal RNA is filed under the name Streptomyces sp. M061017A-1. RNAcentral's name for it is "bacterial SSU rRNA". It matches the Rfam family "Bacterial small subunit ribosomal RNA", at positions 49 to 952 of the family's 1533-position model. The record is from RNAcentral. Lineage: Bacteria; Bacillati; Actinomycetota; Actinomycetes; Kitasatosporales; Streptomycetaceae.